UCGCUUUGGCAGCACACAUACUACAUACAUACAUUGUGGAAUGAUACACAAAUUCACAUGGCCCCAGAACAAGGAUGACAUAUUUUUGGUUUCUUU
This 96-nucleotide small nuclear RNA is filed under the name Mus pahari (shrew mouse). RNAcentral's name for it is "snRNA (MGP_PahariEiJ_G0033810.1)". Lineage: Eukaryota; Metazoa; Chordata; Mammalia; Rodentia; Muridae. The record is from RNAcentral.